Molecule: long non-coding RNA, 223 nt
Filed under: Elaeis guineensis (African oil palm)
Lineage: Eukaryota; Viridiplantae; Streptophyta; Magnoliopsida; Arecales; Arecaceae
Description: long non-coding RNA (EGUI_LNC066286)
Source: RNAcentral
GGGUACUAUUGUUAGAUGGUUACUUUGAUUGGUAUAAAAAUUUAUUUCUAUGCUAUCGAUUUAGGUUCGAAUCUAUGAGAUCACACACAUUAGAUAUUCUUAUCUGAUCAGAUGGCUAAUCUGAAGAGUCCCACUAGAUGGGGACUUUGGUGAAGAGUCCCACUGGACUGGGACUCUAUCAUUAAUGAAGGAUUAAUUAAUGAUUAGAUCACUAAUUAGCUCA